This 157-nucleotide ribosomal RNA is filed under the name Umbilicaria torrefacta. Its description in RNAcentral is "5.8S ribosomal RNA". It matches the Rfam family "5.8S ribosomal RNA". From Rfam's summary of the family: 5.8S ribosomal RNA (5.8S rRNA) is a component of the large subunit of the eukaryotic ribosome. Lineage: Eukaryota; Fungi; Ascomycota; Lecanoromycetes; Umbilicariales; Umbilicariaceae. The record is from RNAcentral.
AAACUUUCAACAACGGAUCUCUUGGUUCUGGCAUCGAUGAAGAACGCAGCGAAAUGCGAUAAGUAAUGUGAAUUGCAGAAUUCAGUGAAUCAUCGAAUCUUUGAACGCACAUUGCGCUCCCUGGUAUUCCGGGGGGCAUGCCUGUUCGAGCGUCAUU